RNAcentral lists this long non-coding RNA (6049 nucleotides) under Hordeum vulgare. RNAcentral's name for it is "long non-coding RNA (HVUL_LNC000684)". The record is from RNAcentral. Lineage: Eukaryota; Viridiplantae; Streptophyta; Magnoliopsida; Poales; Poaceae.
CCGGCGGACAGCGGUGCCGCCAAGACGGGUACGAGGCGCUGCGGCCCCGUUCGUCACGACGGCCACGAGCGGGCCAGAGACCGGAGCCGACCGACGGGAGCGGUCGCGGCGGUGCCCGUCCACCGGCGGUUGCAACGGGCGACAGGUAAAUCCAAAUCGCGGAACCCUCGGCUUCGUUGUCUUUUGCUUUAGCAAUAUGGUGAAUCGUGUUUGAGUUCUAGGUUUUGCGAGGUUAUUCACUAACUAAAUUGCCUAAAUAGCACAGAUCGUAUGCCAUACAUCCAGAGAAUGCACACAAACAGAUUUAACAGAGACUCCUACAGUCUAGUCCGAGUAGUAUGAAAUAAUUGUGGGAUCAGUCUCUCCCAAAAUAUCAUCCUUGGAUGCUUCCCUCAAAGAUAAUUAGCAGAAGAUAUAUGCUUACAAAUUGCAGUGAUUAUGGGCCAUAGAAGCAGGUCCAUCAAAAUAUACUCCCUCUGUCCUAAAAUAAGUGACGCAAAUUUAGUACUACGUUAGUACAAAUUUUGUACUAAAGCAGCGACACUUAUUUUGGAACGGAGGGAGUACAUGGUUCAGUCUCUCCCAGAAUACAAUCCUUAGAUGCAUCGAAGAUAAGUUGCAGAACAUAAAUGCUUACAAUGAUUGUGGACCAUGGAAGCAAGUCUAUGAUCUUAUUCUCGCCGAGUACCAGAUCUUAACAGUAAUCAGUACUGCUUUGCCUUCAGAUUCUGAAUAUAAUAAAGUUUAUGGUGAGCUUCAUGCAACAGCUUGUAGCAGUCUUGGCAUUGGGGGUACUUCAACUUCUAACAAACCCUCAAGGAUUUGAACCACUUCACCCAUGGUCGGUCGAUUGGAUUCGCCAUCUUGGAUACACCAGCAGGCUACCUUGCAGACCCUCUCAGCUUCAUCCAAGUUAACAUCACCAUGUAGCUUGUCAUCCAGCAAGCUCGUAACAUCUCCCUCGAGAAGUUUCCUUGCAACUUGAACCGGGAAAUAUGCUGAAUGAUCACUGGUGCUGCUAUUCUCCUUACAUGUAUUGUUGCUCUGACCCGAUACUAUUUCAAGCAACAUCAUACCGUAGCUGUAGACAUCCACUUUUGGUGUAAUGGCCACUCCACUGAUCCAUUCAGGUGCGAGAUAGCCUAUAGUUCCUCUAAAUGUAGUCAAGGCUCGGCUAAAAUCCCUCCCUAGAAAUUUGGCCAUACCAAAGUCUGCAACUUUAGGUAUGAAUGAGGCGUCAAGAAGUAUGUUCUGUGGCUUGAUAUCACAGUGUAUGAUGCAAUCCCUGCAACUCUCAUGCAAGUAUGUUAAUCCUCUUGCAAUUCCGAUGGCUAUUUGGUAACGGACAUUCCAACUUAGUAUCUUUGUAUUGCUGCGGAAGAGAUGUGCAUCGAGGGAAAUAUUUGGCAUGUAUUCAUACACAAGCAGUCUCAUACUGCCCUGGCAGCAAAAUCCAAUUAGUUUAACCAAAUUGAUGUGUUGGAUGAUCCCAAUUGAACUCACUUCGGCUCUGAAUUCCUUUUCUCCCUGACGGACACCAUCAAGCCUUUUCACCGCAAUAGUUGUAGAGUUAGUUAGUGACCCUUUGAAUACAGAUCCAAAGCUCCCUCCCCCUAGCUUCUCUGAGAAAUUUUUGGUUGCAUGUUGCAGAUCAAUGUAUCUGAAAGCCAUAAUUCCAUUGCCACCUUGUACAUUAUUGUACAUGCCGGUAGUCUGCUUCCUCUUGCUCCUCCAUAUCAGCAGAAACCACAUGACAACUGCCAACAAAACCAAAGCAACGAUGCUUGCAGCAGUAAUAGCCCAAAUAACCUCCUUCCCUCUCUUUGUAUUUCUCCAACUUUCUGCAUCCUUGGCAGAGAUGCGUAAGUAGAGAACCUCGUCAUCACUAGUGGUUCCAAUAUUAUCAUGUUUAAUGUUAAUCAAGUCAUCAUACCACAGGGAGCAUCGGUUGCCAUAGGAAUAUGCAAUGCAAGAGCAAUUAUCUAGGCAAGCUUGUGCGCAGUGGUCUAUGCUCCCAGCAGCUUCUAUAACUAUGGGCAUUGCAGGCAAUUUGACUCUUGUCAUGGGGUAGAACUUGUCAGUCGUUGCAUUUCUGCUUUGAUUCCUGGCACCGCAGUCCAGUGGCACAUUUCUUAUGCACCCGCCAGAUCGGUCCUCUAUCUCCCAAUCCUUAGGUGACCUUAUUGAGAAGCCCUUCAGGCAAUUACACACUUGGGUUGUGUUGCUGUUGCAGAUUGUGAAUGAUCCACAUGUAGCAUAGACAUCACAUUGAUCUCUAGGCUGGGUGAAGACUGUCACCCAAGCUUGUGAACUCUCAACCCAGACAAGUUGCUUUUCCUGUCCAGAAAUGUCCAAAAGGCUAACAGUUAUCAGCUUGUCAUCUGUUAAAUAUUUUAUGAAGUACUCCUCUUUUUUGUUGUUGACAAAUUCAAAGUUAAAAAGAUUGGGUCCACUCAUUUCUGGCAGCGAACUGAAGUAAUGACCAUUCCAUUCCCCACUAGACCAAUAUACUAUGGACGAAUUGCAUAGUUUGUAGAGGAAUUGGCCAGGACCAGCGGUAUCUAAUUCCACACAAUAACGGCCAGGAGCUGGAUCUAUCAAGCUCUUCUUGGAAACAAGGUGGCGGUUCAAACCGGUGACCUUAUCCACGCCUUGCUUUGCACCAGGGAGCAAACCAUCAGUAGGAUAAUCAAAGCUCUGCCAUAUGACGUUGGAUGAGUUAGAUGCAUCUCCUAAGAUGAGGUUCCCACUGUCCAGGAGCACAACUGCAGUGUUCUUGGAUGUGAUAUUAGCAUGGGUCGACCAAAUUAUCGAUUUGGUGACUUGAUUUAAGAUGACAAGGUUACCAUCAUCGGAGAUUGUGAGCUCCGAUAUCCUAUGAUCUACGAUCGGGCUGUCCCUAUUUGCAACCCAUACUGGGGUUAACUUGGGUAUCUUACCAAACCAUAGGCCUAGGUACCAGUGAACGGGAGUCUGUUGGGAGGAGUACUCACUGCCUGGUUGGAAGAAGCCAAGCACAUACUUGCCAUUGCGAGAGACGAGCUUGUCAUCGCCGGUGAGGCGAUCACCGGCUACAAUCGUGCUUCUUGCUGCAGAACAUGGAGCGUGGAGGGCAGAGAGGAGAAGUACGUAUAGGAUGGCAACAAGAAGCAUUGCGUUUGAAGGUUGGAUGCUGUACCAGGUCAUGCUUUAACAUCUGGAGGUGAAGGGUCUUAUAAUACAUGGUGGUGUGAUAUGAUGAUUGGUACUACUAGCAAAAGGGCCCGUGCGUUGCAACGGGAGAAAAAAUACCACGCGCUUUUAAUCUUUUUAUAAUCCUUUUGAUUUAUUAAAAUAAUAAGCUAACUAACUAAUGUAGUCAGUCCUAUCCUAUUUUGUUGAGAAAUCAACCCGUCCAUUGUUAAUUCCAUCAUGAUGAGAAAUUGAGCGGGACAAGCAAAGCAAAACAAAGAGGCUACGUGAAUUGAUCAAUGGACUGUUAUCUUAUUUCACUCAUGGGGUAGAUAAUGUGGGAUGAGAUGACAAACUGAAGGUGGUGUUCCAUUCUCUCUCUCUACAACCAUACAAUCUUACAUUCAAUACAUUCAUUCAUCAGCAAACAAAUUCUCACAAAACAAAAUUUCUUGUCGGUGCUUGGCACACGGUUGGAGGCAUGGGGAGGGGAUUUCACCAGAUGAUGAGUUCCUGCCGGAGGUGGGGAUACGAUGAGGGGGGCAAGGGUUAGGCGCCUCUAUCUGGCCAUAAGGAGUCGCCGUUGCCGCGCCAUAACCUCGGAGUUCCCCGUGUGAGCCAUGGAGGCCCGCCUUCACCUGCAAGUACUUCGCUCCGCCGCGCCUUAUCCGCGCGCCGCCGCCGUUCUGCAUCGAGCAGACACAUCAUCCCAAGUCGCUGUAGCUAUUGCGUUGAUUUGAUCCAGAAGCUGUGCUCGAGCGUCGAAACGGGGGAAGCAAGCGGGCAGAGGUACGACCGCGGAGGCGGGUGGGUUGAGAUCGACAGCAGUGGUGGCUGAGGUCGGCCUCGGCGGCGAGUGGUGUGGCAGCGGCCUGGGCACAUGCCAUGGUGGACCAGGGGUCGAAGAGAUGCGCUCGAGCGCCGCAAUGGGGGCAGUGAGCGGGGAGAGGUACAGUCGCGGAGGCGGGUGGGUUGAGAUCGGUAGCGGUUGAGGUCGGUCGCGGCGGCGAGUGGUGUGGCGGCGGCCUGGGCACAGGCCAGGGUGGCCCAGGGUCGACGGGAGGAGGCGAUGCGUACGAGUAUAAAUUUUUGCAGUGAAUCGUUUUUUCCUUUUGCGUUGCAGAUAAAUGAUGGAGCGCGGGUUGAAUAACAAAAAUUACAGGGGCUUUUUUAUAAAAAUACAGUGAUGGGUUUUCCGACGAAAGCAAUAGCCGCUUUAUUAUUAGGUAGAGACUUCUAUCAUCUCAGUGCUACUUCAUGGUGUUGGCUCUUUGGGCGGUGGACUAUAACUUGGACAUUGUGGCAAAGUUGGGUGGUUGUGGACUUGGACUGCCGACUGAUACAUCCAUUCUGAAAUCUGGAAGAGGAGGACGACGACAUGGAUGAAACGUAUCACGCAUGUCAUAUGAGCGGGCAAAGCAUAACCACAGGUGGUUGCAGGUAGAAUAUUCUACUGUGCUGCUCCGUGGUCAGGUUGGAUGCCAGGGAAAGCCCCUAUGACUGCUGUAUACACCAUAGAAUGGUCUAACUGGAAACAGUAUCUCCGCAGCAUAUAAGGACUUUUCACAUUGUCGACAGGAAGAGGUAUAGAAAUUUUGAGCUGACCACUUCCACAUAAAGAAUGAUGGUCUAUCAAAGAGGCCGGUCGGCUUAACUGCAACUAUAGUUGUUAUUGUGGUAUUGUUCACAAGUUAUCAUAUUCCCAUCAGGUAGACCAACAGCAUGCUGUAAAUCUUUGAAUAUAUAUUCCCUCUUUAUGCGUGAAAAGGUUGUUUAUUUUAAUAUAAGAGAUAUUGCUGGUAUAUCAAUCAUAUAAUGCAGUAAUUCACACGGUUAUUAUUUUGGUAUUGUUCACAAGUUAUCAAAUUUCCAUGAUCUUUUGUAGGGAGAAUAAUAACAUGUUAUAGUCCUUGAAUAUACAUUAUCUCCUUAUGCGAAAAAGAUUGUUUAUUUUUGUAUUGCCCACAAAUGAUCGUUUUUUCAUGAAGUUCUGCAGGGCAAUCAACUUCUGUAGUUGUUGUACCUGAUCAUUUCCAUAGUUAGGUCGGAGGAUAGUUUCUCUCACGAAAUUUCUCUGCGUAUGAUUUCUGUCCAACCCUGUUGUCCAAUGAUUCCCGUAUGAUGUAGUGAUUUGAUCCAAGGGUGAUUGAGCAAGUCGGACAAACAUCGAAAAUUGGUCGUGAGUGGAGCGCUGCUCAAGCACUGUCCUUCUUGCAAUGUGGAAGCGUUUCUGCACAUCUAGCUGCCCCUGGCCUCUAUGGCUACCCAGUAUCCACGUAUGUGUUUGUUGUUCUUGUUGGGAACAAGGGCUGGUCAUAUUGUACAUAUACAGAUCAAAUACAGAGCUCUCGUUGUGUUUAUAUGUGGUCGAUUAUUACGGUUUGUGGAUUGAUCUUUAUGUAGGCGCCAGACCAAUUUCUCUCGGAUUACACUAGGGGCUAGUUUGAUGUUGAUAUUCUAUGUUGGCUAUGGUUUCAAUGGUGGACCCUCACAAGAGCUUGGGUUGGUUUUGACAUCCCUUAUAAUGAUGCCGACACAGAUCUUUUCUACUCCACGACGAAUGUUACCAUGGGCGACGGCAACAAGCGAGUUUCAGGUUCGUGCCUUGGCUACAGGGGCAAAAGCUAAAGGACUUGGCUUCGGGUAUGUUCGUCCUUUCAAUGCGCAAGCACGUCUGUGUGGCAAAGGCUCCAACAAACAGUGAUUGGAUCCGCCGCAUUGACAUGCAGGGAGGCCUCUCUGUUGAUCACAUACAACAAUUUGUCAAUCUAUGGAGCAAGGUCCAGGAGAUUCAACUUACGGCUGUUGUGGGAGCAAUGUUUCCCGGGAGUAUGUAUUUUUCAGGAGAGUAAUCCUUAUGUAUCUUAUAUCCGGCCGG